RNAcentral lists this ribosomal RNA (459 nucleotides) under uncultured bacterium. Its description in RNAcentral is "partial 16S ribosomal RNA". It matches the Rfam family "Bacterial small subunit ribosomal RNA", at positions 338 to 795 of the family's 1533-position model. The record is from RNAcentral.
CCUACGGGUGACAGCAGUGAGGAAUAUUGGUCAAUGGGCGCGAGCCUGAACCAGCCAAGUCGCGUGAGGGAAGACGGUCCUAUGGAUUGUAAACCUCUUUUGUCGGGGAGCAAAAGACGCCACGCGUGGCGUUCCGAGAGUACCCGAAGAAAAAGCAUCGGCUAACUCCGUGCCAGCAGCCGCGGUAAUACGGGGGAUGCGAGCGUUCUCCGGAUUUAGUGGGGUAAACGGGUGCGCAGGCGGAAGAUCAAGUCAGCGGUAAAAUUGAGGGGCUCAACCUCUUCGAGCCGUUGCAUCUGGUUUGCUUGAGUGAGCGAGAAGUAUGCGGAAUGCGUGGGGUAGCGGGGAAAGGCAUAGAUAUCACGCAGAACUCCGAUUGCGAAGGCAGCAUACCGGCGCUCAACUGACGCUCAUGCACGAAAGUGUGGGUAUCGAACAGGAUUAGAUACCCCUGUAGUC